UCUCCGUUGGUGAACCAGCGGAGGGAUCAUUACCGAGUUUACAACUCCCAAACCCCUGUGAACAUACCAUUUGUUGCCUCGGCGGUGCCUGCUUCGGCAGCCCGCCAGAGGACCCAAACCCUUGAUUUUAUACAGUAUCUUCUGAGUAAAUGAUUAAAUAAAUCAAAACUUUCAACAACGGAUCUCUUGGUUCU
This 194-nucleotide unclassified non-coding RNA is filed under the name plant metagenome. RNAcentral's name for it is "partial contains small subunit ribosomal RNA, internal transcribed spacer 1, and 5.8S ribosomal RNA". The record is from RNAcentral.